CGGCAUAAAGUGGACAACGACGAUGAGGUAAGCUUCGUGAUACCAGUGUUUCCCUAGGUGGUGGCCAAGAUUAUCAUCACUGAAAUUAGCAGCUUUAUCAAUGAUAAACAAAUUGAAGGGGUAAUGAUGUUGCAUCUGUUUCUGAUUUUGUACUACUUCAAGCACUAUCUUGUAGUAUAUCGGCAGCACAUGUAGUGGAGCCUCAGUAUGGCAAUGCCGUUAAACUAUUUUGUGGGACAAAUACCUCCACACCAGCUUGUCCAGAACAGAACGGUCAGACCGAAUGGUCUAACCAGUCAGAUCGGUCCAGGUGUCAUGGUUCUAUAUUUAUCAUCUCCG
Molecule: long non-coding RNA, 339 nt
Filed under: Setaria viridis
Lineage: Eukaryota; Viridiplantae; Streptophyta; Magnoliopsida; Poales; Poaceae
Description: long non-coding RNA (SVIR_LNC003033)
Source: RNAcentral